RNAcentral lists this ribosomal RNA (253 nucleotides) under uncultured bacterium. Its description in RNAcentral is "partial 16S ribosomal RNA". It matches the Rfam family "Bacterial small subunit ribosomal RNA", at positions 524 to 776 of the family's 1533-position model. The record is from RNAcentral.
UACGUAGGGGGCAAGCGUUGUCCGGAUUCAUUGGGCGUAAAGAGCGUGUAGGCGGCCAGGUAGGUCGGUUGUGAAAACUCGAGGCUCAACCUCGAGAUGUCGGCGGAAACCAUCUGGCUAGAGUCCGGAAGAGGAGAGUGGAAUUCCUGGUGUAGCGGUGAAAUGCGCAGAUAUCAGGAAGAACACCUAUGGCGAAGGCAGCUCUCUGGGACGGUACUGACGCUGAGACGCGAAAGCGUGGGGAGCGAACAGG